This 550-nucleotide long non-coding RNA is filed under the name Prunus persica (peach). RNAcentral's name for it is "long non-coding RNA (PPER_LNC005443)". The record is from RNAcentral. Lineage: Eukaryota; Viridiplantae; Streptophyta; Magnoliopsida; Rosales; Rosaceae.
UCUGAAGGAAAAAAAUUAAUUGAUGGCAUCUGCCUCCAAUGGGCCAUAGAUACAUGCUUCCUUGAUGACAACACAAUGUGUAUGUAAUCUUCAUCCAAAGACUUGACUAAAUUUGAAACUAAUCCAUCAACUGUUUGAGAAGAGUAAAAUCGAAGCACUUUGUGCGUAAUCUAUUAAUAUAUUACAUAAACAAAUAAUUACAAAGGAAUUCUUAGUCUUUUAACCACCACUCGCACAUUCGUUAUUGAAACUUGUUCUAAAAUUCUGUUGCCUUUAUCUCUCUUCUUCUUUUUUCUUUCUGUCAUUGCUCCUCUUACAGAUUCAUCAUCCAUCCUCAGUAUUAUUAUUCUGCAUAUAUUUCAUAAUGAGAUCUUUUUCAAGUAAUUAAAAUCAUUGUAUAUUGAGGCAAAAGUUGAAAACAAUAUUGAACAGCAACUUAAAAAAAUAAGAUAGCCGGUAAAUAGAUGCAGAGAAACACAACCCAAGUUGAAGUAAUCAAAGCCAAACUCCAUCUUCUCACAUGCUAAUACUGCGGUUUUUUUCGAUCAAG